Molecule: ribosomal RNA, 535 nt
Filed under: uncultured bacterium
Lineage: Bacteria
Description: bacterial SSU rRNA
Rfam family: Bacterial small subunit ribosomal RNA
Source: RNAcentral
AAUAGAUACCCAGGUAGUCCACGCCGUAAACGGUGGGCACUAGGUGUGGGCGACAUUCCACGUCGUCCGUGCCGCAGCUAACGCAUUAAGUGCCCCGCCUGAGGAGUACGGCCGCAAGGCUAAAACUCAAAGAAAUUGACGGGGGGCCCGCACAAGCGGCGGAGCAUGUGGCUUAAUUCGACGCAACGCGAAGAACCUUACCAAGGCUUGACAUACACCGGAAACGUCUGGAGACAGGCGCCCCCUUGUGGUCGGUGUACAGGUGGUGCAUGGCUGUCGUCAGCUCGUGUCGUGAGAUGUUGGGUUAAGUCCCGCAACGAGCGCAACCCUUGUCCCGUGUUGCCAGCAGGCCCUUGUGGUGCUGGGGACUCACGGGAGACCGCCGGGGUCAACUCGGAGGAAGGUGGGGACGACGUCAAGUCAUCAUGCCCCUUAUGUCUUGGGCUGCACACGUGCUACAAUGGCCGGUACAAUGAGCUGCGAUACCGCGAGGUGGAGCGAAUCUCAAAAAGCCGGUCUCAGUUCGGAUUGGGGU